RNAcentral lists this ribosomal RNA (833 nucleotides) under Nocardiopsis alba. RNAcentral describes it as "bacterial SSU rRNA". It matches the Rfam family "Bacterial small subunit ribosomal RNA", at positions 72 to 907 of the family's 1533-position model. Lineage: Bacteria; Bacillati; Actinomycetota; Actinomycetes; Streptosporangiales; Nocardiopsidaceae. The record is from RNAcentral.
AGGCCCUUCGGGGUACACGAGCGGCGAACGGGUGAGUAACACGUGAGCAACCUGCCCCUGACUCUGGGAUAAGCGGUGGAAACGCCGUCUAAUACCGGAUACGACCCGCCACCUCAUGGUGGAGGGUGGAAAGUUUUUUCGGUCAGGGAUGGGCUCGCGGCCUAUCAGCUUGUUGGUGGGGUAACGGCCUACCAAGGCGAUUACGGGUAGCCGGCCUGAGAGGGCGACCGGCCACACUGGGACUGAGACACGGCCCAGACUCCUGCGGGAGGCAGCAGUGGGGAAUAUUGCGCAAUGGGCGAAAGCCUGACGCAGCGACGCCGCGUGGGGGAUGACGGCCUUCGGGUUGUAAACCUCUUUUACCACCAACGCAGGCUCCGGGUUCUCUCGGGGUUGACGGUAGGUGGGGAAUAAGGACCGGCUAACUACGUGCCAGCAGCCGCGGUAAUACGUAGGGUCCGAGCGUUGUCCGGAAUUAUUGGGCGUAAAGAGCUCGUAGGCGGCGUGUCGCGUCUGCUGUGAAAGACCGGGGCUUAACUCCGGUUCUGCAGUGGAUACGGGCAUGCUAGAGGUAGGUAGGGGAGACUGGAAUUCCUGGUGUAGCGGUGAAAUGCGCAGAUAUCAGGAGGAACACCGGUGGCGAAGGCGGGUCUCUGGGCCUUACCUGACGCUGAGGAGCGAAAGCAUGGGGAGCGAACAGGAUUAGAUACCCUGGUAGUCCAUGCCGUAAACGUUGGGCGCUAGGUGUGGGGACUUUCCACGGUUUCCGCGCCGUAGCUAACGCAUUAAGCGCCCCGCCUGGGGAGUACGGCCGCAAGGCUAAAACUCAAUGA